Molecule: ribosomal RNA, 433 nt
Filed under: uncultured bacterium
Lineage: Bacteria
Description: partial 16S ribosomal RNA
Rfam family: Bacterial small subunit ribosomal RNA
Source: RNAcentral
AACGGACGCUGGCGGCAGGCCUAACACAUGCAAGUCGAGCGAGGACUUCGGUUCUAGCGGCGGACGGGUGAGUAACGCGUGGGAAUGUGCCCUUCUCUACGGAAUAGCCCUGGGAAACUGGGAGUAAUACCGUAUACGCCCUAUUGGGGAAAGAUUUAUCGGAGAAGGAUCAGCCCGCGUUGGAUUAGGUAGUUGGUGGGGUAAUGGCCUACCAAGCCGACGAUCCAUAGCUGGUUUGAGAGGAUGAUCAGCCACACUGGGACUGAGACACGGCCCAGACUCCUACGGGAGGCAGCAGUGGGGAAUCUUAGACAAUGGGGGCAACCCUGAUCUAGCCAUGCCGCGUGAGUGAUGAAGGCCUUAGGGUUGUAAAGCUCUUUCAGCUGGGAAGAUAAUGACGGUACCAGCAGAAGAAGCCCCGGCUAACUCCGUG